Salmo salar (Atlantic salmon) is the source of this 3649-nucleotide non-coding RNA. NCBI's taxonomy places the organism in Eukaryota, Metazoa, Chordata, Actinopteri, Salmoniformes, Salmonidae. The record is from RefSeq and is a predicted model, not a curated record.
AAAAACGGACACCUUUUCAUCAAAACGACUUUAUAUUGAAGGGGUGCCUUUGAGUUGACAUCUUGUACAUGCGCAGUUCGGAGCGUGACGACCGUUAGACCCGUGUCUGCGCAUGAGAUUUGCUAGCUAUCUUCAUACUGUACUGUAUUCGGCUAUAAUUCCAUCUGGUAGGUUGCAUGCCGUAGGACAGCCCAACUAUGCUCCCUAGUGGUCAAGGCCAGAAUUUAAAAGACAUCAGAGAAGAAUGGAUCAAAGUUAGGCCUGUAUAAAGUUGAUAAAGAUGCAUUCAGUUCUGUUAUAAAAUAAUCACAUGACAUAUUGGGUGUUUUCAUGAGAGAAAUUGGAGUUUAUGUCUACUCCACCGAGAACAAGUGGAGUUGGUGCACUUGGCUACUUCGUCCCGACUCUUUCGUUUUGCUCAACACCACCGCAUUGACAAAGACGGAUCCAAUGCGCGGUAGGCUACAGAGGGAAGAAAGGACAACACACGGAUUAUAUUUCCACGAGGAGGAAAAUAAAUCGAUUAAAAAAAGAAAUUAUUCUGCUUUAAAGGUCUCCUCUGCAGCCUCUGCUCUGUCCUGACUGAGAGCCACUGGUGUGUUGCCCACUUUCCCACUGCAUCAUGGGUACCUUCUCCAGCAAGGAUGGCCAUGGACCCACAGGGCCCAGCUUGGAUUUGUUCCAAACCCCUCCUACUUCUCCAGUGACCUCCACCCUGCCUGCUCUCACUCCGAUCACACCCUCUACACCAGGCCAGCCGGCAGCCCCAGUACCAGUCACAGCCCUAUCCCCAGCACCAGUCACAGCCCUAUCCCCAGCACCAGUCACAGCCCUAUCCCCAGCACCAGUCACAGCCCUAUCCCCAGUACCAGUCACAGCCCUAUCCCCAGCACCAGUCACAGCCCUAUCCCCAGCACCAGUCACAGCCCUGUCCCCAGCACCAGUCACAGCCCUAUCCCCAGUACCAGUCACAGCCCUAUCCCCAGUACCAGUCACAGCCCUAUCCCCAGCACCAGUCACAGCCCUAGCCCCAACUCCAGGCCCAGCACCAGUCACAGCCAUAGCCCCAGCUCCAGGCCCAGCACCAGUUACAGCCCUAGCCCCAGCCCUAAGUGGGAAGAGACUCCUGCCCGUCAGCCCAGGCUACUCUGUGAUUGGUCCUGGGUUUAUCUCCCUGCAAGGAAGGACAGGAAGUAAUGAAGCAGUGCCUAAAGGGCGGGUUGUGAUGGGGUGUAAUGGAGGCCCCAUCAGGUCUAGUCCCAGGAUCCCUGUACCUCAGGGGAAGAGCUCAUCGAUGAGCCCCACCAAGACUCCUUCAUCCCUGGGUAGCUCCCUGUCCUCGGCCAGCCCGAUUAGCCUGGUCAGCCCCUCGGAGCAGAGCAAGAAGGACAGUGGGCUGAGCCUGACCACGCUGGAGCACCAUGGGGCUGCAGACAACCAGGGUGAGAUUGAGAGGCUGGUGGAGGAGUGUAGGACAGCACUGGGUCUCAGUCCCAGUCAGUAUGCAACACUAAACAGCGCAGAUGUGUUGAAGCAUCUGCUAGUGGAGCGCCAGGAGUUGACCGCUGAGGUCCAGAGUCUGCGGGAGACCAUGCAGACGGAGCGAGUGGAGUGGCACCAGUUCCAGUCUGACCUGCAGGUGGCGGUAGCAGUGGCCGACCGGCUGAGGGCCGAGGCCGAGGAGGAGCUGAACGCGCUCAGAGCGGCUCAGGUGGAUACAGAGCGGGAGCUGGAGGCUGCCCAGCAGAGACAGAAAGAGACUGAUGGGCAGCUGGUCAGCCUGAGAGGAGAGCUGAGGGAGAGCAGGCAGAGACUGGUCCACCUCACCCAGAACCAGGGACCAGGACAGGCCCAGGCUCAAGCCAAGACCCAGGGCAUGGAGAGGGCUACUGGGGAGACCAGCACACUAGAGACCCAGGAGGGGACACACCGGGGAAGGGAGAGGGGGAUCAGCAGGUUUGGCCGAGGAAGAGGAGAUGACAAGAUGGAGAAGAGGAGCCAGGAAGAAGGGAAUAAGAAUAUAAGUGUGAAAGAGGCUCGAACGGACACUAAGGGCGUGGCCAACAGGUACUUGAGGAACGUGACCAAUGAGGAGAGGAGUGGAGAGGAAGGUUGUAGCAUGAGGGAGACACGGAGGAUAGUCACACAGGAGAGGGCAAGAAGCCUUUCCAGACUACCCGCAUCUUCAGACUCCCCUGCUGUAAUGAAUGGAACAUCCCAGUCCAAUACUGCCACAAUAGCUGGAUCUACAAACAAGAACCAAAGCCAAACCAGAGGAAGAAAAGGGCUAGAAUGGCAAGACAGCUGGUCCAGCACUCACACAGGGAAACAGGAGGAGGCAUUGAACCAGUACAACUCUGCCCUGGCAGAGCUGCCCCCUAACACGACCUCUAAGACCAGGUCUCAGGAUGGCUUUAAUCUGCUGCUACGCCGCCAUGGAGGCUCCAAGAGGAACUCUCUUCUGCGCUGGUGUCAGAGCCGCACUCAGGGCUACAAGAAUAUUGACAUCACUAACUUCAGCAGUAGCUGGGCGGAUGGUCUGGCCUUCUGUGCUGUGUACCACACCUACCUCCCCUCACACAUCCCCUACUGCACCCUUAGCCCUGACAACAAGAGCGAGAACCUCAGCCUGGCAUUUAAGACGGGAGAGAAUGUUGGAAUCACAACAUCACUGACCAUGGAGGAGAUGCUGAGGGCCGGAGGACCAGACUGGCAAAGAGUUCUGGGAUACGUGGAGUGCAUGUACCGUCACUUUGAGAUGUAACGCCCAGGACUGUGUGCUUGAGGGAAACAUCGGCGGGAGGUACAGUUCACUGCUAUUGGUGGAAGGAUGGGGAGUGUGAGUCACUCCUCUACUAGCUGAUAUGGUCAUUGAUUGCCAUGUAGAGAAAGUUAGGCUUUGUUGGCACAACAGAGCCCCCUUCUGGUCAAGAGUGCAGGUGCAGGUUGCUGUAAAUGUCUACACUGGGACCCCAUCAGAAGGUUACACAAAGUAACUGAUCUUAUCAUACCAAACCUUUGCUUGACUCCUAAACUUUUUCUCAGCAGUGCCAUCUAAAGCUGCUGAUCUGUGUCCAGUGCCUUUAGUACCACAGUCUUCCAUUUAAAACAUGUUCAUGUUUUCUAUCCAUUUUAGCACUCUGUAAAUAUGCACUUUUAAUAAGCACUUUGAUGAUUGUAAUUUAAAGGAUGAAGGAGGAAAAGGAGUGUAUGGAUGCAGUCUCCCUGUCUAGCAAUCCAUUGAUUCUUAUAUUGCUGUCCAGCAGGGAGACUGAAGUGCUUUAUUACAGUGACAUGACUUGGGAAAUCAUAGGGGAGGCCUUGGUUUGUAUGGUCUUUGUCUCCAUCUACUGGGGUCUUCAAAGUUGACAAGUUAUAGCCAUUGUAGUGAUUAGUACUGUGAUUAAAAACAAAACAAAUGUAAUAAUUGAAAGGUUUUUUCAAAGAUUAUUACAGAAGAACCAUAAUCACACAGAGACACACACACACACACACACACACACACACAAUGACCGACUAAGAAAAUAUCCCACCCAGCUGCUGCCCUCUUGUCACCUGUAUUAAUCUGUUCCCAGGUGGUAAUGGAAAGAUCACGUCCAUUUAUUACAUACAGUUGAAGUCGGAAGUUUACAUACACUUAGGUUGGAGU